RNAcentral lists this long non-coding RNA (8875 nucleotides) under Brassica napus (rape). Its description in RNAcentral is "long non-coding RNA (BNAP_LNC001889)". The record is from RNAcentral. Lineage: Eukaryota; Viridiplantae; Streptophyta; Magnoliopsida; Brassicales; Brassicaceae.
CUUGUGAUAUUUCUAGAUACACUCGACAUAAUAACUCAUGAUAUAAUGACAACAUGCAUUAUAAUGCAUAACAUGAUAAUUGAAGACGAGCGGGACAUCAACGCACCGAUUAGAGAUGCAAGAGCGGUGCCAGUGCUACAAGUUGAAACAGCAACUAACGAAAAUACUCGGUUUCAAUAAUUUUUGGCUCGUAAUCUACAAAUAAAAAAAAAUAAAAAAGCUCAUUUAUCGCUUCAAAAUGCACUAAUUGAUCUUAUAUGAGAGCAUUAUGGGAAUAAUAAUAAUGAAUAAUGUAUUUUUAAGUCUUUUAUUUAUAUGUAAUAUAUGCUAUUAGAAUGUAAUAGUUUAUUAAUAGCUAUUGUUUAUAGUAUUUUUGAUGUAUGAUUUUAGCUGUUAUAAAAGUUUUAUGCUUUUAUUUGAUUCUUGUCUAAAGUAAGGACUAUAAUGUAAAAAUAUAAACAAAUUGAGGUUUUUUUUAAGGUUUACCAUUGGAGAAGGUCACCCCAAACCUCAAAUAUAAGGUUUAGCAAACCUCAAAUAUAAGGUUGUUCUUGCAGAUGUUCUAAUAAUAUAUAUUUUUUGGAUCAAGAACACAUUCAUCAAAUAUUAACAAGAUUUUUUUUGGGCAAUUCUCCUUAAUAGCCCCUUUUAACUUUGUAUCUCUAAAUCAGACUCUCAAACUGAAAAUAACCUAAAUAACCUUCAUCAAGUGUCAAAAGUCUACAAUGCCCUUCUUUUAAUUGUAAUUAGAUGAAACAAUUAAUAAAUUGCAACCACGAAAAAUAAACGACGACGAAGGACUCUUGAAGUCAUCUUCGACGACGAGCUCCGGCGACAAAGGAAACAAUGAUUCUCAUUGUCGACGAAGCAAGCUGUGUGAAUCUGUAUGUUUCAAUAGUUUUACGAAGAAAAUCUUAAUUUUAUUUAGGGUUUUCAAAUUGAGAUUUGAAUUUUUGUGUUCUUCUUCUUCCGAUGAUACGUUUGAACUUGUUUUGUUGUUUGAAUAGAACAUGGAUAGCAGAAUCGGAGUUACAAAUAAUGAAUUUCAGGAAACUUCGUUUACAUAUAACUUUGGCUUAAAGAGGAAGAUGAUCUCGUGACUUUACUUUUUGGUAAGCAAUUUUUGAAUCUUUGAUAUUCCUAUUUAUUCUUUGAUAAAAGAACCCUGUGUAAAGAGAGCUUUGAUUGUUGGAGUUGGUCUCUUUGUUGUGUUUCCCUUUUUCACCUGAAUGGUAAUGUAACAGUGUCAAAGUGCGAUUGCAGGUCUCUGAUGCUUUGUAGAACUCAAUUUUGAAACCGCCUCCUUCAUACGUACAGCCAGCCUUCUCUAGAAGACCGUAAGAUAUUAUGUUCCUGCUAAUAUUCGGCAUGUGUCUCACAUCAGUUAAAAUCACUUCAACACCAUCCACAUUAGUAACUCGAAUCUUUCCAAUUCCUUUAACUUCGCUCUGUGUGUUGUUCGCCAUAAAAACUUUCCACCUUCUAGUUCCUUGAAGUCAAAGAGAACAUUCCUUUGAGGAGUGAUAUGAAACGAGCAGCCAUAGUCUAGAACCCACUCCUACUUAGUGUCCUGAACACUUACAGUCAGUACAAGCGGCUGCUUUGGUUAAGAAGCUAUAUUCAUUAAGCUUGAAGACUCAUUCUUCCUUCCCUGAUUAUUCCAAUUCUGUGGGCAUUCUCUCUUCCAAUGACCAUCCUUUCCGCAAAUAAAACACCCUGUUUUGUUGGUAUUUCGGUUUGAUCUUGGUCUAGACUUUGAUCUUCCAUCCCGUGACUUUGAUCUGCUUUUUCCAUACUUUCCAUUUCCUUUAUUUCCCUUCUCCUUCUGUCUACGUUGAGAUUCCACAUACAAGCCUUUUAAGUUCGAUCUAGACUUUCCAAAGAGACCCCUUUGUUUUGUGUUGUUCAAAAUCUUUAAAAUUCAAAUUGUAGUGGGAUUCUAAGAUUUUCAGUUAUAAUAUUACUAGAUACUAGUUGGUAUAAAUAAAUUACACAUUUAUAUUUUAUCGCAUAAAAACAUGAAAACACCUAUGUAUAUAUAAAAUUAUAUACCAAAAUAUAUAGAGAUUUAUCUCAUUUUUUUUAAACAUGUAUAAUGUAAAAUAUUGUUUUUGGAUAACACAAUGUAAACUAGUUUUAUAAAAUGAUAAUUAUCAAAUCAAUAAAAUUCAUUCUUAAUUUGUGGUUAUGUAUAUAUUAAAAACCGAAUUAUUCAUUAUAUUUAAUAAAGACCUUAUAGCACAAUAUAAAUUAUUUUUUGAUAAUGAUAAUUAUCAAAUUAAUGAAAUUCAUUUUUAAUUUGUGGUUAAUCAUAUAUUAACAAAUCAAAUUAUUCAUUAAGAGUAAUAAAAAUUUUAGCCGCUCUAACUUUUAAUGUUAGAACUAAUAAUCAUUUUGCAAAUAAUAAUAUAGAAUAAAAUUAUUAAAUAGAAGGUUUAAUUAUUAUAAAUAGCUAUAAACUUGUAUCAUGGUAAAAUAAAAAUUGUCUUCUUAUUUGAUUGCAGGUUAUCCAAGUAGGGAAGGGCUUGGAUUUGAUCCAUCCUAACACAAACUUAAUCUGCUAAUUCUGUAAUAAUAAUAAUACAACAAGAUUUGUUCUACUAAUCUUUUUACAGAGUGAAAUUUUUUAUUCUUUUGAAUCAAACAAAAGACACCAGAAGAAUUAGCCUUAUCUCCAAAGACUCUAAUUACUCAGUUCCGUUCGUUCACCAUUUGUUUUGACAAUAUACAGAAGUAAGAUCAUCUCUCUGGCUCGAUUUUCAUCUGAACCGUAGAUUCAGAACCUGACACAUACAACCAAAUAACAAUGUAAUUAGAUAUCACACAACAAAACUUCACACUGUUUAUAUUCUGCAAUGUAAAUUUCUGUUUAUAUUUUUGCUUACAGUUGAUGCUCUGUUGCGGACAAUCACUGAAACCCAUAUGAACAAUACUCUGCAGAUCGUUUUCCCAGAAAGCUGGCGCCUAAGAAAACACACAAAAGUAAGCUUUUCAGAGGAAGCAAUACAGUGAGACUGUAUACAAUAUAAGCGGACAUUAAAGUACCUCAGCUUGAACAAAUCCUUCACUAAGAAUGUUCUUGCCAACAGCUAAAUACUCUGAAGGAAAUCUUGACUCUGAACAAGAUAAUGAUUCUCCCAGCUGCAACAUCUAAGACAUACAUAAUCUACUCGUCAGAUACAAUUACAGAACAUUCUCCCAGUCUUUGUUAUGAAUGAAUCAACAUAAAGCAGAAGAAUACCUCUGCAGAUAACAUAGCAUUAGCAGCAUUGAACUCCGUUCUUGGAUUUAUAGUUGCUAACUUCAUAGACAAGAACUGGAGAAGUAAACAAGAGAUUCAGAUUCAGUUAUAAUAAACACACAGCUCCAUGUUUAAGAAACAUAUAAAGCGACAGUAUACCUGGACUUGUCUUUGCAAUGACUGCACAUAAUUGAUAAUCUCAUCAAGCAUGACAGCUUUUCCAGUAAUCCGGUUGCAACCAGGGACCAAAUCUUGAAGCAACUUCAUUCUCGCACUNNNNNNNNNNNNNNNNNNNNNNNNNNNNNNNNNNNNNNNNNNNNNNNNNNNNNNNNNNNNNNNNNNNNNNNNNNNNNNNNNNNNNNNNNNNNNNNNNNNNNNNNNNNNNNNNNNNNNNNNNNNNNNNNNNGAAGCCCUAGAAAAUCGGCGACCGACUCGAACAUGACACCACACGUUGAACAGAUAGCAUGGUAGGGACACGCGCCCACUAACGAAGCCGCCACCUAACUUCAGCCAGAAAGUCAUCGACGGAGCUCCAACCGGCUGUUCCACCGGAAACACACCGGAAACAGGAACCCGAAGUUAGAGAUCUAUCGAAGACUAUGGAUAAUUGCUUUCCACCACCGACAUGGUCUACGCCGGAGGAUCAAAGAGAUACACCGGAAGCCAAGAGGCUGAGGAAGCCCGCUAAAGACAGUAGAACACAGUCGAUAACCAUACAACUUGGCUCUUCGCUUUAUAGACGAUUCAUUUGCAUGCGUUCCAAAACAGGAAACAGAGAUGAAUCGAAGAAGCUUGAAGGAAAGAUCAGACGAAAGCCAGAAUAAACCAGAGAGAAGCCGCACGACGCCACCGGAGAAGACACCGUCAUCAACGUCGCCGGAACCAGAAGCCAAUGAAUCAUUUAGAAGAAAGUGAUUCAUUGGAGCCAAAAGCCGACGGUUUCGUCAGAGAAGAACGACCACCGUCGAACCCAAAAGCCGGCCAGUCGAUGUUGAAGAAACCAUCGCUGCCGGAACCGACUCCUAUAGGAGCCAACACGCCGGAAACCACCGGCGAUCUAUAUCCUCUCUCUCUGAAAGAUUUUUUAGAGAGAAGAGAGAGAGUUUUUUAUGAUUGUGUUUUUUCCAAUGUGUGAUUUUCAUUCACUCCUCGUUAGCCUUUUAUGAAAAUAUUGUAAUACUGUGAAAUUAUAUCUAAAACUCGUGACACCGGUUUAUAGGUUAGAUGUAUUUUAUCUUAUCCAGCGACAUAAACAGGAUAUCUUGACAUGAUGAGAUAAGAAAAUGUACUGGUCCUUGUAAAUUUGGACCGCAUGUCGGCCAAAAAAUCGUUUUGACUGAUAUAUUAAGCUCAACUUUUUUUGUACCCGCAAAUUUAAAACGCUCAAAUAUUUGUUAUAACGCCAUCAAAACAGUGAUCAUUAUUCAAAAUUUAACUUAUAUGUGAUAUUUCCACUCGACUCAAUUAAAAUAGAAAUAAGCCAAGCUAAAAAAACAAAUGGUGACAUCAGAAGAAGGAAAAUCAAAAUGAUGAAUAAAGGGUGGUCAUGAUCCUAUGAGUCCCAUUAAUAUUUAUAUAUAUACACAGUGGUCAUGCACUCUUGAUAUUUGUUGCUUCUACAGUUUACUAUUUAUUUUUCACAUACAGCAAGAGUAAAAUUUUAAACGUGUCAAAAUAAAUCGUUGAGGUAGCACUCAGCAGAUCUAAUAAGUGGAUUGCCUCGAAUCAUAUUAACCCUGGGUUACUCUCGAGUACUGACAAGUAGAUAACGCCAAAGAAAAUGAUGUAAAAGGCCAAUAAUGGACUGUAAUAAAGGUGUGGUUCAGUACUCAUCGUGAAGGCGUAUCUAAUAUCUUCUUUCCCCAGCUACACGACUAAUUUACUCAAGUGCACCGUAUUUUUCUUGUACACGUAAACUAUUUAUAAGUCUACAUAGUUGUACAAUUGUAUAGUAUUUUAUACACUGUGCGUAGGUAAAUACGUAUGGCUCGUGUGGUGGUCCCCGCAGAAACCAAAGGUAGAGCCGUGUGGAGGGACCUCCCCCAAGUAAAACGAUAACCACACGGUAUCAGAUCCCUUGUCACUUUCUUGAAUUUAGUGGCGCCCUUUAACUCUAAAGGAACCUCCCCUAAAUAGAUACAGAACUAAUAUUCAUUUGUUUUUAAUAAAAAGUUGAUUUAAUCUUUUUGAUUGUGUUUCAAAAAAAAAAAAAAAAUCUUUUUGAUUAUUGACUAGGCUUCGAAACGCGUAAUGACUUCUUCUUCUAGUACAGCCAAACAAGUAUGGUGUCUAUGUAUUUGCUGCGUAUAAGAUCGUAAAGCCCGUCUUUGGGUCAAGUCGAUGGAACCUAUACUUUAAGUGAAUAUUUUCUUUAAACUUUUCUUGACAGAAUUUCAGAUUUGAAGAUUCAAAUUAUCAUGUUUAUAAUAUUUCCAUUUUAACGAAGCGGCCAUUCUUUCUUUAGCCUUUGAAAUUUCGGAACCAAUACAAACCAUGACCCAUGAUGUCAUUAUACUUUUACCAAAAAAAUGAUGUCAUUAUACUGAAAAAUAGCUAAAGCUUUUAAUAGUGAUAUUAAACUUAGUUGUUGGCUGCUGAUCCAUAAGAAAUUGUUGGCAUAUGAUUUGCUUAAAGAAAAACCAGUGAAUAAUAUACGAAUUCGUUCAUUUUAAUUCAUCUGUACUUAACACUAUUAUAUAGAAAGGUAAGGGUGGACGAGACUGAUGCUGGUUAAAUAACAUAAUGAUAUAUAAUUUUUUUGCAAUUUUUUAAAUAGAAGUUUUAGUUUUUAUCCAUUUCUUAUACUUUUUUUUCGUCAACACAAUUCUAUUGAUUUAUACAAGGAGUUCAUGAUCUUUUUAUUUUUGAACAGAGGAGGAGUUCAUGAUCUAAACUCUGGUUUUUGACUAUAUACAAGUUGAAUGAAUGUAUGUAUCAAAAUCAGAUAAGCUACAUCCACUUUUUAAAACAACUAGUUGAUGUAAUUUAUAGCCACCUUUUAAUACUAGUUUUUGAGCUAGCUGUAUUUUAUACUAAGUUCCUUGCAUUUGAAUUUAGAAUGGGCUUUUGCAUUAAAACUAUACUCGAUUUGUAUUCAUAAACUUCAAAAAAAGUUUUAAUAGCUAUGACUUUUGAGUCUACGACAGCUCGAACAUAGAAAAUUAAAAAACUAUGAAAUGUACCUAUCCAAUUUAAUUUAUUUUUCAAGAUUCAUAUAUGUAUAUAUUUACAUAUUUAAUUGUAUUACAUUGUCUAUACUCAUUAAAACUUUACGCAAAUGCGCAUGGACGAGCAUGUCUCUCCGCAUGGCGUAAGAUUUAAGUUUAAAACUUCUAUAAAAUAACAGACUAAUAACAAAAUUAUCGGCUAAGCAUCACUUAAAUUUAAUACACGUUAUGGAGACUACCACGUCACAUUUGAGCACCUUCCAGGCUGUCAAAGACUCCUAUCACCCAUUCAAAUCAUUCCACGUGGCACUUUCGGACAGUGACACCUAUGCUACAACAGCUGUCUCACUCGUCUACAUUGGUAUAAAUACCUCUUGUAUCACACUUCAUUCUAUAAACCUCAAACAAAACCUCUGUUCUAACUCUUACAAUAACCAACUUCUCAAAUGGCUUAUAAUUACCGUUUUGCCUUUUUCCUCACCGUCCUCACCGCCCUCGCCGGGAUCUCCUCCGCCGCGUUGGUCAAGGAGCAGCCGCUUGUUCUGAAAUACCACAACGGCGCACUCUUGAAAGGAAACAUCAACGUCAAUCUCGUUUGGUAUGGGAAGUUCACACCCACCCAACGGUCAGUGAUCGUCGACUUCAUCCGCUCGCUCAACUCCAAAGAAGCCACAACCUCCGCCGCUCCCUCCGUCGCGUCGUGGUGGAAGACGACGGAGAAAUACAAAGGCGGAGCUUCGACUCUCGUCGUCGGGAAACAGCUCCUCCUCGAGAACUACCCCCUCGGAAAAUCUCUCAAGAAUCCCAACCUCCGUGCUUUAUCCACCAAACUUAACGGCGGUCUCCGUUCUAUAACCGUCGUUUUAACGGCGAAAGACGUUUCCGUCGAGGGCUUCUGUAUGAACCGGUGCGGGUCCCACGGAUCGUCCGUCUCGACUUCGCGCCGCGCGGCUAACGGCGAGGCUUACGUCUGGGUCGGAAACGCCGAGACGAUGUGCCCGGGGUACUGCGCGUGGCCAUUUCACCAGCCCAUUUACGGCCCACAAGGGCCGCCGUUAGUUUCCCCUAACGGUGACGUUGGAGUCGACGGGAUGAUUAUAAACCUGGCUACGCUGCUAGCUAACACCGUCACGAAUCCGUUUAAGAACGGGUAUUACCAGGGCCCACCAACUGCUCCACUUGAAGCUGUCUCCGCUUGUACCGGCAUGUUCGGGUCUGGUUCUUACCCGGGUUACGCGGGUCUAGUGCUGGUUGACAAAACUACCGGGUCUAGCUACAACGCUCGUGGACUCGCCGGGAGGAAAUAUCUCUUGCCGGCGAUGUGGGAUCCACAGACCUCGACUUGCAAGACUCUGGUUUGAUCCAAGGGAUGUGAGUAUGACACGUGUCAUGUUCUGGAAGGAAUGAGGAGAUCUAGAUGACAUCUAUAGUCAAAACAAGUUGUAACUCGCGCUUGUAUAAUAUAUAUGCUUUCGGGUUUGGACUGUGGAUAAGAGUCUUUGCUUUUGUCGUUUUGUUAUGACGUGUAAAUUAUGUUUCUUGAAUGUGAAGAUAUAUGAAUAGUAUAAAAUAAAAUGAUUGUGUUUCUGUUGACAAAAAAAAUGAUUUUGUUUCUACUGCUUUUUAUAAAAGUUAAUGCACUUAUUAAAGAUAAUGAACUAUAAUGAUUGAGGCUUAUAAUACAAAUUUUAUACAUUUAAAGGAAUCUAGCUUUUAUAUUAGUGGGUAGUAUAAGAUAAUCAUAGUUUUAUUGUUUAUAUUAAAUUCGAUGAUAAAAGUAGAUAACACUACAAAGAAAGAUGAGUAUAAAAUAUAAGUUGCUCUCGGUGAUGUUGGGGCCAAAGAGACCAAAUCGAUUGCUUAAUAAAAUACUCGUUUCUUCCUACUUUUUUUUUCAUGUCAGCCAUAGUGUGCUUAAAAUACUUCCUCGUAAUUGUGUUCCCUCAUUAUUUGUAUGACUAUGAUUAAAACUAAGUUAACAAAGAUAAGGUCUGUAAUAACACCAGAAUUCAUUGUGUCAGAGGUUCUGUGGAACAAAAUUAUUUAUAUUAUAUGAUGUAGUUUAGGAUACGGAGAAAUUGAGAAGCUUUUAAAAAUGAUAUAAGAACAUAAUUAUAUAUGUUAUAAAGGAAAAAGAAAUUAUCAUCUCGACUUCGCGCCGCGCGGCUAACGGCGAGGCUUACGUCUGGGUCGGAAACGCCGAGACGAUGUGCCCGGGGUACUGCGCGUGGCCAUUUCACCAGCCCAUUUACGGCCCACAAGGGCCGCCGUUAGUUUCCCCUAACGGUGACGUUGGAGUCGACGGGAUGAUUAUAAACCUGGCUACGCUGCUAGCUAACACCGUCACGAAUCCGUUUAAGAACGGGUAUUACCAGGGCCCACCAACUGCUCCACUUGAAGCUGUCUCCGCUUGUACCGGCAUGUUCGGGUCUGGUUCUUACCCGGGUUACGCGGGUCUAGUGCUGGU